Molecule: unclassified non-coding RNA, 1080 nt
Filed under: Hevea brasiliensis (rubber tree)
Lineage: Eukaryota; Viridiplantae; Streptophyta; Magnoliopsida; Malpighiales; Euphorbiaceae
Source: RNAcentral
GAAACCUCCAAGGAAGGAGAGGAAAAAGUUAUUAACUUCUCAUAUUAACCAAGCUACACCUGUUGCAGAGCAAGGAAGGUCUGUAUCUAUAGAUGCAGAAGAUAUGGCUGCCUCUGAGUCUCAGUUGGAUGGGCGACGCCAUCUUCAUUCUCCAUGGAUACAAAGAGAAAUCCUGCAUGUGUAGAUGUGGCAUUUAUGAUGGAUGGUAAAGGAGAAAGUCCUGAACAUACAGAUUACUCGGCCUGUAUGAUGCCGCCUCCAACAAAACGCUUUAAAUUUGUAUCAUCAAGUCAGCAUCUGUUGUUAUCAAAUGAUACAGAAAAAGCUUCUGGCCUAACAAAAUUCACAAGUGCCCAAGACAGUUUUUCCAUCAAGGAUUUUCAAAUAGAGUCAUCUUCAGGUGGUGACUUGCCAAAUGAUUGUGCUAUCGUCUCUAAGUUCCCUGGGCAAACUCAAGGAAAUUGCCUGCUGACAAAAGAUAUUCCAGUUCCCCUUGCUACAAAAAUUUAUUACUCUCAGAGGAACAAUCGCCUUCGGUCAGCAGUUGCUCAAAUGUACCAUGCAAGUGCAGAAGUAUCACAGGAAACUAUAAUUCAAUUACCAUCUUCAUCCUGUAAGGAAUGUUCACCUGAGCAAGUGGAUAACCUUCUCAACAAGAAGAGAGAGCCUUCUGCAUUUAAACCUGAUCAAAUUCUUGCACAAAGCUCAGAAUUGUGCUUGGAUAAAUCAGGAGGAUGCAUACCAGCCAUUAGCUCUAGCUUCUCAAAUCAGCUUUCUGUUGAUAACAUUCUAAGGCCUCAGACUGCUCCUGUAUUGGUCAGAAGCAAAUAUCUUCCAAAGUCUUAUUCUUUUGCAGGCAACUCUGGACAAUCGCUAGGGUCUAUGCAGCAAGCAAGUGGAAGCGUUCCCGUUUUAUAGGAGUCAUUGUUGUGGAAAUUUUGGCUAAUCAAAGGUGUAUUUAGUACAAUACAUAAGGUUAGGAUCUAUUUUUGAAAUUGAAAAGGCAAUUUACCAUAAUUGUUUAUUCUAACCUUCUGUAAUCCGUCUAAUGCUUGACUGCUGCUCUGUUUAUACUUACAG